GCCCCUUCCACGUGUGAGGGCCCAGCCGACUAUGCUCCAGGAAGUGGGCCCUCCCCAGCUGCAACAGCGUGUCCGCUGGCCCCAGGAUCUUGGACUUUCAACUUCUCAAGCAUGAGGAAUAAACGCUGUCCCUUCUGUGGAUUUUAUUACAGCAGUCCCUUUAUGUAGACAUUGAAAAGAGGUGGCCUUUCUGGGAAGAAAAAUCUCUUGAGUUUUAAUUCUGGUAAAAAGCUUAUUUUGGGCUUCCCAGGUGGCUGAGUGGUAAAGAAUCCACCUGCCAACGAAGGAGACACAAGAGGCACAGGUAAUGAGACAGGCUGGGACCCGGGACUGUUUACCAGAGCGCUUGCACCUGGACAUACACGAGGGCACACGUGGGGGCAAUCAUGAACAAUGAGCUGCGGAAGGCCACAAACCAACCACCAGGGCUGAGGCUCGGAAGGUAAAGCGAAGCGCUGAGGCAGAUCUCUGCGCACUGCCCCACCCAGGGGGCGGGCAGACCGCCCAAGCUGACCCCGGCCCCACCCGACCUGGUUAAGGGCCCAGCCCGCCCCUAAGAGCCGCAAAGCCACCUGGUGCUUGUUCCCACUGCGCAAGUGGCAGGAGCUCCAAUAAUCCUCACCUGAAUUUCUCAUCUGGCCUCAUCGAUUUCUGUUGAUCAAAGAGUCCAAGGACUCGGGUCAGUGCUAUACUUGGCGACCACCCUCGUGGGCUGUCCGUGGGGCCUUUGCCUCUUCCCUGGGAGAGGAUGCAGGCACCUCCGGGACCAUCGAACAAGCUUCCCUGAGCGGCCGGGACCCCUUGCUUCAGCUUCUCCCGUUCGGGGAUGCCGGUUCAAUCCCUGGUCCAGGAAGACCCACAUACCAUGGGGCAACUAAGCCUGCACCAACAACUGAGCCCGUGUGCCGCGACUGCAGAGGCCGAGCGCCUGCGCCGCACAAGAGAAGCCGCCGCAACGAGAAGCCUGUGCACCACGGUGAAGAGCAGCCCCUACGCACAAAACUGGAGACAGCUCACCAGCAACAAGGGCCCAGCACAGCCAAAAUAAAUAAGUACAUAAAUAUAUUUUUUAAAGGAGCAGAAUCUAUUUAAAAAAUUAAAAAUAAAGAGUUCAAACACCUGGUUCAGUAACAGCAACACUACAAUUUCUAAUGAUCUCCGUUGCUAUUUCUACCUUUCUUGUUUUUUGCAGCCAUUGAAAUUUUAAGCCAUUCUGUAAAUACAAAGCCAAGUAAUUAUCAGAAUCCCAAUGGGAUGAAUUAGAGAUGUCAGUACAAUACAUGAUUUGAGGAGAAAUCUUUAAUGCAUACCAGUGUUAAACACUUAAAUUCUUGAAUAUGUGAGGGAGGAAAAAGCAUCUUUUCUUUUGCUGUAUAUUUGUGAAAAACAAGAUGACAUUCUCAAAAUGGAGUCACUGAUGCUGAGCUCCACAUCACCAAACUUCACUUAAUUACUGCUUCAGACUCUCCCCGAAAUAGGAUCUUAAACCAGGGAAUCAGGAAUUGCCUGGUCGAUACCAGUGAGGUCACACUGGCCUGAUGGACCCCUGCUUCCCCAACAGGGAAAUUACCUCUCAACUACCACCUCACUUUUCAGCCCAGCGUGACUUCCUGUUCCUGCCCCUUCUGCCUGUGAAAGUCUUGUCCUCUGUACAGUUCCUCAGAGCUCCUGCCAGAGGC
Bos taurus (domestic cattle) is the source of this 1679-nucleotide long non-coding RNA. Lineage: Eukaryota; Metazoa; Chordata; Mammalia; Artiodactyla; Bovidae. The record is from Ensembl.